CCUACGGGUGGCAGCAGUGAGGAAUAUUGGUCAAUGGCCGUAAGGCUGAACCAGCCAAGUAGCGUGAGGGAAGACUGCCCUAUGGGUUGUAAACCUCUUUUAUGCGGGGAUAAAGGUGUCCACGUGUGGAUGUUUGCAGGUACCGCAUGAAUAAGGCACGGCUAAUUCCGUGCCAGCAGCCGCGGUAAUACGGAAGGUCCGGGCGUUAUCCGGAUUUAUUGGGUUUAAAGGGAGCGUAGGCCGGUCUGUAAGCGUGCCGGUAAAUUUUGUGGCUCAACCAGGAGAGUGCGGCGCGAACUGGUGUCCUUGAGUGCGCGAGAGGCAUGCGGAAUUCGUGGUGUAGCGGUGAAAUGCAUAGAUAUCACGAAGAACCCCGAUUGCGAAGGCAGCCUGCCGCAGCGUUACUGACGCUGAAGCUCGAAAGCGCGGGGAUCGAACAGGAUUAGAUACCCGGGUAGUC
RNAcentral lists this ribosomal RNA (460 nucleotides) under uncultured bacterium. Its description in RNAcentral is "partial 16S ribosomal RNA". It matches the Rfam family "Bacterial small subunit ribosomal RNA", at positions 338 to 795 of the family's 1533-position model. The record is from RNAcentral.